Molecule: long non-coding RNA, 738 nt
Filed under: Pogona vitticeps (central bearded dragon)
Lineage: Eukaryota; Metazoa; Chordata; Lepidosauria; Squamata; Agamidae
Description: lncRNA (ENSPVIG00000021717.1)
Source: RNAcentral
GAAAAGACAGUUACAGCAUGAUGGAGAGCCAGUGUAGUGCAUAGGUAAAGGUUCCCCUUGACAUUCAGCCAGUGUAGUGCAUAGGUAAAGUUCCCCUUGACAUUUUAGUCCAGUUGUGUCCGACUCUAGGGCGCGAUGCUCACCCUUAUUUCCAAGCCAUUAGAGCAAGGGUUUGUCCGAAGACAGUUUCUGUGGUCACGUGGCCAGAAUGACUAGACAUGGAAUGCCAUUACCUUCCCGCUGAGGUGGUACCUAUUUAUCUACUUGCAUUUUUACAUGCUUUCGAACUGCUAGGUUGGUAGGAGCUGGGACAAGCGACGGGAGCUCGCUCCGUCGCGUGGAUUCGAUCUUACGACUGCUGGUCUUCUGACCCUGCAGCACAGAGGCUUCCGCAGUUUAACCCACAGCGCCACCACGUCCCUAACAAUGUAGUGCAUACAGCAUCAUAAUAGGGCUCCAGAGACAUGGGUUCUGCUUGGCAACAGAAAUUCACUGGGUGAUGGCCAUGGCAAAGCACUCCUUGACCUCUCUCAUACACCUUGAAAACCUUUUUAAGGUCAUCACAAGUUAGAAAUGACUUGAUGGCACAUAAGAAUGAGUACCAUCAAUUUGCUAUUUCUAAAAGGGUUCCACCCCUUCACUUGUGCCAGACCCUAGCCCCCAUUUCGGGUAGGAAAAAACUAGGCAAAUGACAUAAAAAGUGGAUAACCGCACUGCACAUUGACUUUCCCCAGAAAG